Cotesia glomerata is the source of this 155-nucleotide long non-coding RNA. RefSeq lists it as uncharacterized. NCBI's taxonomy places the organism in Eukaryota, Metazoa, Arthropoda, Insecta, Hymenoptera, Braconidae. The record is from RefSeq and is a predicted model, not a curated record. The transcript has 3 exons.
UGUUCUUCCGAUCUAUAAUACUUUUGUUUCUCGCAGCACAUGAGCCAUAUCACUCUGUUUAGAGAUGUUACAAAGUGGAGACUCAGAAUAACCUAAAUUGAGAGGUAAUUUAAAGGCAGAGUGAGCUGUUUUAUCUCCGUCUAUCAAAGUCGCAG